GGGCAGCGGCAGCUUACACAUGCAGUCGAGGGGCAUCGGGGAGUAGCAAUACCCUGCCGGCGACCGGCGGAAGGGUGCGUAACGCGUGAGCAACUUGCCCGUAACUGGGAGAUAACCGACGGAAACGUCGCCUAAUAUCCCAUAACAACAUAAUCCGCAUGGGUAAUGUUUAAAAGAAUUUUGGUUACGGAUGGGCUCGCGUGACAUUAGCUAGUAGGCGGGGCAACGGCCCACCUAGGCGACGAUGUCUAGGGGUUCUGAGAGGAAGAUCCCCCACACUGGAACUGAGACACGGUCCAGACUCCUACGGGAGGCAGCAGUGAGGAAUAUUGGACAAUGGGGGCAACCCUGAUCCAGCCAUGCCGCGUGAAGGAAGACGGCCCUAUGGGUUGUAAACUUCUUUUGUCGCAGAGCAAUAAGGUUUACGAGUAGACUGAUGAGAGUAUGCGACGAAUAAGCAUCGGCUAACUCCGUGCCAGCAGCCGCGGUAAUACGGAGGAUGCGAGCGUUAUCCGGAUUUAUUGGGUUUAAAGGGUGCGCAGGCGGCGUGCCAAGUCAGCGGUGAAACCCCCAGGCUUAACCUGGGACCUGCCGUUGAUACUGGUGUGCUAGAGUCACCUUGCCGUGGGGGGAAUGAGUGGUGUAGCGGUGAAAUGCAUAGAUAUCACUCAGAACACCGAUUGCGAAGGCACCUCACGAAGGGUAGACUGACGCUCAGGCACGAAAGCGUGGGGAUCGAACAGGAUUAGAUACCCUGGUAGUCCACGCAGUAAACGAUGAUGGCUAACCGCCGGCGAUAAAAUGUCGGUGGCCAAGCGAAAGCGAUAAGCCAUCCACCUGGGGAGUACGACCGCAAGGUUGAAACUCAAAGGAAUUGACGGGGGCCCGCACAAGCGGAGGAUCAUGUGGUUUAAUUCGAUGAUACGCGAGGAACCUUACCCGGGCUCGGGCGGCAGGUGAACGAUACAGAGAUGUAGAGCCCACUUCGGGGCGCCUGUCGAGGUGCUGCAUGGUUGUCGUCAGCUCGUGCCGUGAGGUGUCGGCUUAAGUGCCAUAACGAGCGCAACCCUUGCCGUCAGUUACCAGCACGUAAAGGUGGGGACUCUGUCGGGACUGCCACCGCAAGGUGAGAGGAAGGGGGGGAUGACGUCAAAUCAGCACGGCCCCUACGUCCGGGGCGACACACGUGAUACAAUGGUGGGUACAGAGGGGAGCCACCCAGCGAUGGGGAGCAGAUCUCAAAAACCCAUCUCAGUUCGGAUUGGAGUCUGCAACUCGACUCCAUGAAGCUGGAUUCGCUAGUAAUCGCGCAUCAGCCAUGGCGCGGUGAAUACGUUCCCGGGCCUUGUACACACCGCCCGUCAAGCCAUGAAAGUCUGGGGCGCCUGAAGUUCGUGACCGCAAGGAGCGACCUAGGCGAAA
This 1422-nucleotide ribosomal RNA is filed under the name uncultured bacterium. Its description in RNAcentral is "bacterial SSU rRNA". It matches the Rfam family "Bacterial small subunit ribosomal RNA". The record is from RNAcentral.